Small nuclear RNA from Mesocricetus auratus (golden hamster), 108 nucleotides. NCBI's taxonomy places the organism in Eukaryota, Metazoa, Chordata, Mammalia, Rodentia, Cricetidae. The record is from Ensembl.
GUGUUCUAUUUGGCAACAUGAAUACUAAAAUUUGAAUGAUACAGAGAAGAUUUCAUAUGGCUCCCAUGUAAGAAUGACAUGUAAAUUUAUGAAGUGUUCUUUAUUUUG